UGUUUUUUAGUUGAAUAACAACAAUGGUUUUUCAUAUCAUAGGUUAUGGUUAGAGUCCAUAUUAAAACA
RNAcentral lists this transfer RNA (69 nucleotides) under Pseudochirulus canescens (Lowland ringtail). RNAcentral describes it as "tRNA-Glu". It matches the Rfam family "tRNA". Rfam says of the family: Transfer RNA (tRNA) molecules are approximately 80 nucleotides in length. Their secondary structure includes four short double-helical elements and three loops (D, anti-codon, and T loops). The record is from RNAcentral. Lineage: Eukaryota; Metazoa; Chordata; Mammalia; Diprotodontia; Pseudocheiridae.